AGUGAACGCUGGCGGUAGGCCUAACACAUGCAAGUCGAACGGCAGCACAGGAGAGCUUGCUCUCUGGGUGGCGAGUGGCGGACGGGUGAGGAAUACAUCGGAAUCUACUCUGGCGUGGGGGAUAACGUAGGGAAACUUACGCUAAUACCGCAUACGACCUACGGGUGAAGGCAGGGGACCUUUGGGCCUUGCGCGAAUGAAUGAGCCGAUGUCGGAUUAGAUAGUUGGCGGGGUAAAGGCCCACCAAGGCGCCGAUCCGUAGCUGGUCUGAGAGAAUGAUCAGCCACACUGGAACUGAGACACAGUCCAGACUCCUACGGGAGGCAGCAGUGGGAAAUAUUGGACAAUGGGCGCAAGCCUGAUCCAGCCAUACCGCGUGGGUGAAGAAGGCCUUCGGGUUGUAAAGCCCUUUUGUUGGGAAAGAAAUCCAGCUGGCUAAUACCCGGUUGGGAUGACGGUACCCAAAGAAUAAGCACCGGCUAACUUCGUGCCAGCAGCCGCCGUAA
This 506-nucleotide ribosomal RNA is filed under the name uncultured bacterium. RNAcentral's name for it is "partial 16S ribosomal RNA". It matches the Rfam family "Bacterial small subunit ribosomal RNA", at positions 29 to 523 of the family's 1533-position model. The record is from RNAcentral.